UCUCUCUCUGGAGAUUUCUCUUCUUGGAGUCUUUUCAGUGAGCCCAGGACAUGGCAGACGGAGAAGAGAAGAAGCACCUGCCUGCCCUCCCUCUCAAGCCCCCUGGUUUGUCUACUUAAUUUGCUGCAAAAUUGGAGGAAGCUCUAGAAAAAGUGGCUGGUUCAACUCACUGGUGUGGUGUCUAAAUACCUGGCACUUGAUGUCUGCUUGGCUUACACUCGCAAGCUGUCUGCCCUCUUCAGAGAGAGUGAAAGAGACCCUCUCCAGGGUAUUCCUCAGAGCACUGAGCUUGUGUGGUGCUGGCCAGCAACUGUGUCUUCAGGAAGUGACACAUUCUUGGAAGUUUUGAAUGGAUUAAGCAGAAAUGGAUGAGAGGAAUAAAUAUUUUCAAGUUCUACGGUUCACAGAAUUUUGUAUGUACUGAACAAGCUCAGCAGUAAAGAAUGCUUAGAGGGAAGACGUAAUGGGCUAAUUUUUUUCCCCCCAUCUUUUUACAGUCAGUUCUGUGUCAAAAUUUUAUUUUUUCUGAGAUCUGAAAGAAUUGUACUGUUGCUUAACAUGUAGAAAACAGAGAACUGAGUUAAUAUGGAUUUUUCUGUUGCUUGAACAAGGCCUGUUGAUGGCAAGUCUGAAAUAAGCUUGUGAAUGAAGUGAAAUAGAGGACCGAACUUUUUCUACCUCCUGACCAGAAAGGGUAGAACAGUUACCCACCGGAAACUUUGUGUUUCAAAUGGGAAUAAAAGCCAGAGCUAUUGCAGUGAACUUGUCUGUCCUUGUAGAGGUAGUGCACACAGGACAACAACAUCAGAACGUAACAAGAUGACUGAUGGGAUAACUGUGGUUCCCUUUCCUUGGGUAGGAUGAGGCCACCUACCACUACAGAACCUUCAAUACGGGGCCCAAACAUAACUGGCAGAAAUAUAGUGUUUAUAUAUAUAGAAAUUAAUUUUUUAAUCUUCUCAAUAAGUGAAAAAGAUCAGAUAAUCAAACUUGUGAAGUAAAAAAUUGAUGCUCUUUUU
Long non-coding RNA from Gallus gallus (chicken), 1019 nucleotides. Lineage: Eukaryota; Metazoa; Chordata; Aves; Galliformes; Phasianidae. The record is from Ensembl.